GACGAACGCUGGCGGCGUGCUUAACACAUGCAAGUCGAACGGAAAGGCCCCCACCUUGGUGGGGGUACUCGAGUGGCGAACGGGUGAGUAACACGUGGGUGAUCUGCCCUGCACUUCGGGAUAAGCUUGGGAAACUGGGUCUAAUACCGGAUAGGACCAUGGUUUAGUGUCUCAUGGUGGAAAGAUUAUUGUUUUGGUGUAGGAUGAGCUCGCGGCCUAUCAGCUUGUUGGUGGGGUAAUGGCCUACCAAGGCGUCGACGGGUAGCCGGCCUGAGAGGGUGGACGGCCACAUUGGGACUGAGAUACGGCCCAGACUCCUACGGGAGGCAGCAGUGGGGAAUAUUGCACAAUGGGCGCAAGCCUGAUGCAGCGACGCCGCGUGGGGGAUGACGGCCUUCGGGUUGUAAACUCCUUUCGUUAGGGACGAAGCCGCACUUUUUUUGGGUG
RNAcentral lists this ribosomal RNA (447 nucleotides) under Corynebacterium sp. oral taxon B00. RNAcentral's name for it is "bacterial SSU rRNA". It matches the Rfam family "Bacterial small subunit ribosomal RNA", at positions 28 to 466 of the family's 1533-position model. Lineage: Bacteria; Bacillati; Actinomycetota; Actinomycetes; Mycobacteriales; Corynebacteriaceae. The record is from RNAcentral.